Long non-coding RNA from Eriocheir sinensis (Chinese mitten crab), 927 nucleotides. RefSeq lists it as uncharacterized. NCBI's taxonomy places the organism in Eukaryota, Metazoa, Arthropoda, Malacostraca, Decapoda, Varunidae. The record is from RefSeq and is a predicted model, not a curated record. The transcript is spliced from 4 exons.
CCUAGGCAGACUGCCUUCCACGGCUAACGACCUCCACCUGUCCGGGUUUGUUGUUCGGAGUUUGCUCUCCUAGGCAGACUGCCUUCCACGGCUAACGACCUCCACCUGUCCGGGUUUGUUGUUCGGAGUUUGCUCUCCUAGGCAGACUGCCUUCCACGGCUAACGACCUCCACCUGUCCGGGUUUGUUGUUCGGAGUUUGCUCUCCUAGGUGGACUGCCUUCCACGGCUAACGACCUCCACCUGUCCGGGUUUGUUGUUCGGAGUUUGCUCUCCUAGGUGGACUGCCUUCCACGGCUAACGACCUCCACCUGUCCGGGUUUGUUGUUCGGAGUUUGCUCUCCUAGGUGGACUGCCUUCCACGGCUAACGACCUCCACCUGCCCGGGUUUGUUGUUCGGAGUUUGCUCUCCUAGGCAGAUUGCCUACCACGGCUAACGACCUCCACCUGUCCGGGUUUAUUGUUCGGAGUUUGCUCUCCUAGGCAGACUGCCUACCACGGCUAACGACCUCCACCUGUCCGGGUUUGUUGUUCGGAGUUUGCUCUCCUAGGUAGAUUGCCUACCACGGCUAACGACCUCCACCUGUCCGGGUUUGUUGUUCGGAGUUUGCUCUCCUAGGUAGAUUGCCUACCACGGCUAACGACCUCCACCUGUCCGGGUUUGUUGUUCGGAGUUUGCUCUCCUAGGCAGAUUGCCUACCACGGCUAACGACCUCCACCUGUCCGGGUUUGUUGUUCGGAGUUUGCUCUCCUAGGUAGAUUGCCUACCACGGCUAACGACCUCCACCUGUCCGGGUUUGUUGUUCGGAGUUUGCUCUCCUAGGCAGAUUGCCUACCACGGCUAACGACCUCCACCUGUCCGGGUUUGUUGUUCGGAGUUUGCUCUCCUAGGUGUAUUGCCUACCACGGCUAACGACCUCCACCUGUCC